AUGUUGAUGUGGCAAAGCCUGGCAUUGCAAAAGACCUAAAACCUUUAUCACGGGGGUUCAAAUCCCCCCUUCAACAUCUUUUUGGUGGGGCGAGGCCCGACUAACUCUUUCCCCUAGAAGUUAUAAAAGUUUAAACCCUUUCCAAAAAAUC
This 151-nucleotide transfer RNA is filed under the name Ophisternon candidum (blind cave eel). Its description in RNAcentral is "tRNA-Leu". The stretch from base 3 to 76 matches the Rfam family "tRNA". Lineage: Eukaryota; Metazoa; Chordata; Actinopteri; Synbranchiformes; Synbranchidae. The record is from RNAcentral.